This 8240-nucleotide long non-coding RNA is filed under the name Olea europaea (common olive). RNAcentral describes it as "long non-coding RNA (OEUR_LNC013633)". The record is from RNAcentral. Lineage: Eukaryota; Viridiplantae; Streptophyta; Magnoliopsida; Lamiales; Oleaceae.
UGAAAUCACAAUAAACUAAAACAUAGUUUUUUUCCAUUUUUGUUCACCUUUUUUAGGCUAAUGACGAUACAAUAACGUUACAAUACAAGUCUACUAAACUAGAUAUAAGGUUCUAAAAACAUAAUUAUGUCCAACAAGGCCUCGUGAUCAUCAUAUCUAAAAAAAGAAUACUGAUUAAACAAAGAGAAUAACCAACCACAAUAAUAAAGCAAUUGUUUAUAAUAUCUAAACAUAACAAUUACACAAAUUUACAUUUGUAUGAUAUUACAAAACACAUUUAAUUUCAGAUUCUUACCUUAGUUUGCUCCAAAAAAUUAUUGAUCUGAAACUUUAUUUAUAGCAAAUAUUAUCACCGAAGGUUUAGGAUCUCUUUGUUUCCGAUUUGGUAUAAUGGACUUCAAUUCAACUUUGAAGAGAUGUGAAAGUUUUGAAAAAUAAGUGUGUAGUACCGGUGGCUUAAAACUGUGUUGGGUAUCGACUGAAGUUCAUCUAAAUUUUGAAGAGAAAAAAGGCUUUUGAUAGAUUAUGUUAGUCUUGAAAUUAUUAAAUAUAUAUUAGGAUUAUUGGAUAAUAAUAAUAAUAAUAAUAAUAAUAAUAAUAAUAAUAAUAAUAAUAAUAAUAGAAAAUUAGAAUUGACAAAAAUACUCACAAAUGAUAAAACUAUUAAAUUUUACAUAUUUGAAUGAAUUUUCAAAAAAAAUUCAUUUUUUCAUUUUUUCAUUUUUAUAUAUUUUUUCGCCCAUCCGAUUUGAUUUUAAACCACAAUUUAAAUUCUCAAACCUAAACAAAACCAUUUUGACCGGUUUGGUUUGAGUCAAAAUCAUUUCGUUGACUGGGUCCACGUGGUACCAAACCGACGGUUUCUAAAAUACGAUUUCGAUUCGAUUUUGCGGUUUUUGCUUACAGCCCUAGGACGGGGUGAUAGAAUCCCAAAUAAGUAAUUGUCUAUUGAAUAGGUAUUGUGGGGAUUAAUACAAUAAGUUAUAGGCUGUUACUAAAAUAGGGAGGCAAUGCUUGAUUUGGGGAUGUAAAUAUUGGGUAGUUUGCUGAGAGCCUCUCAAAAGCCUUGGAAUUGUCAUUCAAUUUCUAUUAUUCUAUCAAAAGAAAUCCUGUUAAAAUUUCUGAUUUCUAAUUCAUUUUAUCAAAUGCAGAUCUACACUCCUAAAUUGAGUUUCGUAGCAUUCUCAAUAAACUCUCAAACUUCUUACUCCAGCAGUUGUAGCAGAAGAGAAGCCCUCCAGUAUUGAGAUAUGCCCCCCAGGGCACAUCCAAGUUGGCGGAACAAUCACAUUGGGGGGCUCUGAAACCAAGCGUGGGGAGUUCAAUUCCUGGUGGGAACCUUUGAUCCAAUAAAGGAGGAAUUAUUGGUGGAUUAAUCACCAUGGAGGAGGCUCCCUUUGGGGAAGGAGUAAAAGCCAUGUAGGAACCUGGGAAUCAACAAGGGCACAUCCUGCGAUUUACCUCCCUGAGCAGCUGAGGGGCCGGAGGUUCAGGGACGAGGAUAUAGUCUGGCGCAAGCUGGGACACCUCGUUAAAAAAAAAAAAAAAAAAAAGAGAGAGAGAGAGAGAGAGAGGUCCUCCAGUAGCAACAUCAACAACAGUAAUUCCACUGCAAUGGAGAACAAUUCCAACAACUCAGCAGCAGUACAGCAGAGAAGCAGAUCAGAGCUGCAUCUGGUAUUCUAUCAAAUGGUAUAAGAGCACUUGAUUAUAGGACAAAUGGAAACAAAGUUCAACAAAGAAUUCGAGGAGAGAUGGGACUCGCUACUCAAUUAGUUUGAGGAGAAGAUAAUGCAACGAGAAGGAAGAGGACAAGAUGAUCUGGGGCUCGAUUCACAAGGCCUGCUAAAAAUAUCAAAUAUUCCAUGGAGAAAAUACAGAUUGGUGGGCAUUGGAGGCGGAUAUGAUUUUUUCCAGAAAUGGAUUGUUGGAAGUCGGGAAGAUAGAAGCCGCAAUAGAUUGUUUUGAACAUCUGUGCGUGCUACAGCCCGUCUCCUUCGGCCCAAAUGUCCAUUAAAAAAAAUUUAAGUAAAUUUGUUUUUAUACGUAUUAGCCCGUGUUGAAUUUUUUCCUGAAUCUGACACUGGAUUUGUCAGAUUUUGUUCACCCCAGGAAGUUAUUAUCAUUAAGAGUUUUUCAACAUUGAAAUCAGAUGGAUUCGAGAAAGAUUACGAGCAGAACGCUAAGACUCUAACAUCGGCCCUAAACAAUUCCAAGGAUCGAAUAGGGAUGAAGUAAGGGAACACUAUGAAAGAAUAAGGUCAUCGACAAUUUCAUCAUCUCUUUCAUCACAUGAAAUGGUAGGAGAUUUGGAGGCCGGGUUGCAGAUAGAAAAAGAUGAAAGAAUAGUUGGGGAAGCUAGUGGGUUUGUGCUAUGAUAUAGAGGUGGCCCAGCAAGAGGAGGGCAAAAAUUCAAUAAAGUAAAAAUUUAUAAAUAAGAGUUUAUCAUACAUUUUAAAAUUAAAAAAACAAGUUUCAAACUUUAAAAAUCAAAUUUUUAUUUUAAUUUAUUUAUGAUUUAAUUUAUUAAUUAUUUUAUUAAUUAAAUAUAUUUAGGUCACAGAUCUAUGCAAUUUGGUCACAAAUUAACGUUUUAGUUAGACACUUAUUUUUUAUUUUUAUUUUUUUUAUCACAAAUCAGAAAUUUCAUAUCAAAAAUUAUUUUAUGAUCACCAUUCAUAAAUUUUGUAAGUCAAAGUUUAUUCAUCGAUCACAAAUUAAAAAAUUUAUAAGCCACGAUUUAUUUAUUGGUCAUAAAUCACAAAUAUUAUAAGUUAUGACUUAUUAUACAGUCACAAAUUAUUGAUCACAGAUUAUUCAUCGAUCAUGAAUCAAAACUUUUAUUGGUCACAACUCAUUGAUUUAGUGCAAGUAAUUAGAUUAAUUGGUCACAAUUAAUUUUUCGAUCACAAAUUAAUCAAUUGUGACUCUCGGUCAAAACUUUUAGGUAAUAUAUUACAAAUUAAUCAAUUAAUUGUCACAAGCAUCCAACCUAGGGAUGUCAAAAGAGUGAAAAUGGGGCUCAUGGGCGGCUCGAGCUCGUAAAAUCACGAGCCCGAGCACGAGCCGAGAGGCUCGUUUGAACGAGCCACGAGCCCCAAUUAUAAAGAGUGACCGUUUUGAUCACUUUUUCAGUGACCAAACGGUCACUGAAAUUAUUAUUAUUUUUUUAAUUUUCCCCCCUUUUCUAUAAAUACCCCUUCACCCCUUUAUUUUUUUCACAUCAAUUGCUACUCCAAGUCCCCAACUCUCUCAACUCUCUUUAAUUAUAUCAAUUAUCGAGUUUUUACUCUCUUGUGUUGCAAAAUAUAUAAUAUCAAUUCAAUUUUUAUAGUUUAUUAGUUACAAUUUCAAUUCAUUCAAUUCUCAAUUCUCACAAUCUCACUACAUUUAUAUUCUUUUAGUUAAGAUUUUAUCAUAAACAAUCAAAGAAAUUAAUCAAUGCUCAUUUGUUAAGAGCUUAUUCGAUACAGGAUGUGGGUCAUAUCAUGGUGAAUCGCCUAGGACGUCGUAAAGUCAAUUUCCAAAUGAAUUUAUCGGUCUAAAUGACCUACCGAUACCUGAAGAUGUUCAUAUUCACGGUCACAAUCCAAUUGAUUUGGAUGAUAUUAACGUUCCUGAAGUGGAACAUGAGGAUGAAGAUGUCGAAUUAAACAUCCCACAUGCGAGGGGAAAGCGAAAUGUCAAAAAACAAGCAAAAUAUUGGGAUCACUUUAAAUUGAUUUCAACGGGAAAAGUCAUAGAUGGCCUUGCAGAAUUUAAAGUAGUAUGUAAAUACUGCCAACAAAGAUUGGCAUGGCAAAAAGGAAUUAAUACCACCUAUCUCAACCGCCACUUCAAAGCAUGUGCAGCCAGACAUGGACUUCUUCCAGCUGGUUAAAUACAAUUGCAAUUUGGCAGUCCAGGCGCUGAUUCUACAACUUUACCCCUAUCCACGUGAAUGUAUUCGGAGGACAAUACUUGAACCGAAAUAGUGAAAUUUGUUGUCAUCACUGAAUUGCCUCUGGCUAUUGCAGACAACCAAUACUUUGUCUUGUUCGUGAAAGAAUAUCUACAAUCGAGAUACGUUGGGAUAAGUCGAAACACUCUUCGUGCCGGUACAAUAAAUUAUUUCAAUAAUUCAAAAUAACAAUUAAUUAUGGAUUUGCAACAAUAUGAAGGUGUUAUAUCUUUAACUUCUGAUAUAUGGGAAGGGGUUAAUAAAAGAGCAUAUAUAGCUACAACUGCACACUAUAUAGACCCACUUUGACAAAUGUAUAAGAAAAUUAUUGUUUUUAGAAUUAUUGAGUUUUUUCACAAUGCUAAUAAUUUAUAUAAUGCUAUUAUCAGUAUUGUUAGAGAAUAUCAUUGCUAGACUAAAAUUCGAUCUUUUACUUUUGAUAAUGCUAAUAUUAAUAAGGCAAUCGUCGAUAAAUUGUGUAGGACACUUCAACCUAAUUUUGAUGGGUAUUUGUUUCAUAUUCGUUGUGUGUUUCAUAUCUUGAAUUUAAUUGUGCAAGAUGAUUUAAAACAUACAAAGGAUGAAUUUCAAAGGAUUAGGAAUGCAUUAGUGUAUAUUACGAUCUCUCAUAGUAGAAAACAAGCAUUUGAAGAUUUUUGUGCCGAACUAGGGGUGACGAUUGCUAAAACAUUUGUUAGCGACGUAAGCCAUGGAUGGAACUCUACUUACUUGCUAUUAAAGUCAUGUGAAUGUUUCGAAAAUUUAAUAACCGACUUUUAUAACAAUAGACACGUUAGAAGUGAUGACGAUGGUAUAUUAAACGAAUCCGAUUGAAUUUUAGUUUUGAAAGUUAAACGAUUUUUGAUAUCUUUUUAUGAGACCACAAAGAUUUUAUCCGACGUUUAUUAUCCCACAAGUUUUAUGGUGUUUGAACGCGUUUAUAUAAUUGCAAGAACAUUCCAUAAAUAUAAAAAUGAUCCUACUUUUAGUGAAAUUAUAAUUGUUAAGGAAUUAAAAUUUAGAAAAUAUUGGGAAGAACUGCCUAUGUUAUUUCCUUUAACAUGUGUAAUGGACCCCCGAUAUAAUAUUUCGGGAACUAAAUACAUAAUUGAUCAAAUCAAUAAAAUUUUAAUAUUUGAUACAUCUAUCACCUAUAAGAAUUUAGAUCAAAUAUUAUGUGGAAUUUAUGAUUUAUAUGCGGAAAGAAUGAGAGCGAAUGUUAGUCGGGUACUCUCUACACCUACUCCUUCUGUUGAAAUUGAAGAAGAUGAUGCCAAAAUAAUAAAUUUAUUUCAAGGCAUUAAUAAAUUUAUAUAUGAUACAACUGCAAUGUGUUUAUCUAGUGUCAUGUCGUCUACAUUUACAUCUCAUCAAACAUCGGCCUAAACUCAAAAUGCGAUGUCUGCCGAAUUAAUUGAUUACUUCAAUUAUAAUAUGCGAACAGAUAGAACAAUUAAAAAAAGUUCAGAAGAAGUAAUUGAAUUCUGGCGAAAGUAUGAAAGAUGUUGGCCAAUUGUUUCUGCAAUUGCAAAAGAUCUGCUGACACCUCUGGUUAGCAUUGUUGCUUCGGAGUCUGCUUUUAGUGCAGGUAAAAGGAUUUUGACCGAUAUCAAGAGCCGACUGAAAGAAGAUAUUUUGGAAGCGUUAAUGUGCGUGAAUAAUUGACAGGAAGCUUAUUUUCGACCACAAUAUAAAUACGCUGAAAUUGCAUGUCGUCAAGUAAGUGAUAUUUGAUUUAAUUAUAUUAAUAAAAAUUUCUUUAUUUUUUAAUCGUUAAAUUUAAUUUUUAAAAAAAUUAUACACGUUACAACAAGUUGUUUGUGUAUAAUUUUUAACUCCGCCUACUUAAAAUUGAUGUAGUCAAUCCCAAGUCCGGAUAAAGGAGGAGAGUUUACAUUUUAUCUACUUUAAAAAGAAAUCAAAAAUAUAUAUUUUUUGUAAAUGUAUUUCAAAAAAUAAUUCAUCUUCAUUAUAUAAAUAUUUUAUACUCUGUAAAAAGUAUUACAAUAUGAUAUAAAUAAAAAAAUAAAAAAUUAUUUUCGUUAAAUUAUUUGUAUUUUUAACACUUUUUAUUUUUUUUAAAAGUGUUUUAUAUUAUUUCAUUUAUUUGUAAAACUCUUUAAAAAAAAUUGGACGAGCCCACGAGCCCAAGCUCGGCUUGACCCACGAACUCGUGGGCCGAGUUGAGCUCGCCCAAAUUCAAUGAGCCAAGCCCGAGCUCGGUUCGCCACGAGCGCGAACCCAGCUCAUGAGUCGAUUCGACCCAUUGCCACCACUAAUCCAGCCCCAUAUCAAAUAGCUGUCAUCGCCAUCAUUACCACCAAAAACCACACCAUCAUUGCUGUGACUACAGCUAUAACCUACCGUGACUACAAGCAGCAACAGCAUCACUAUUGCUUCACCACCACUAGCUCUCCACCAACAAAGCAAGUCCAAAACACCAUCGCCUUACCGCCGUCACCGCCUCCACAAUCACUGCCAUCACUACCUCCACCAUUUUCAACCACCACCACACCCAAACACUCCUUCACGUAAUAGGCAAGAAGAAACCAUCACGGUACGUCACAGCAACCAUACCACUCACCCGACUACCACCACACCUCCCGUUUCCCAUCACCGCACACCUUUACCACUGCCACGCAUAGCACUACCACCAUCGUUGCUACACAACACCAUGGUGCACACCAUCACGGUACUUGAUCGCAACCACACCACUCACCCAACCAUCACACGUCACAUUUCUCACCACCGCCACUGCACAGCACCACUACCAUCGCUGUUACACAACACCGCGCUUGUUAUACAGCGCCGACUAGAGUUUCCUGCUGGCAACACUGCGCCAUCACAGCAGCGUGCGCAGCGAUCCCGCCUGCAGACGACUUACUCUUCUACCGACGGAGCUCUUUUCGCAGCGCGGUCCAUUGAUAGUGAGAGGGAGAGGAGAUAAGGGAGAGUGAUAACCAUUAUCCACAACGGUGCUGCCUGGAGGUGACGUGCUCUUCUGUCGAUGGAGCUCUCUCGACAGCAGCCUCUGUUGAUGGUGAGAGAGAGGAGAUAAGGGAGAGGGAUAGGGAGAAAAGAGGGAUUAUGUUUUGAAAUUGAAAUUAUGGUGGGUGGGCUAGGUAUAUAAUUAAUUUAAUUUUAUAAUUAUUAUAAUUAAAAAAUCUAAAUUUUGAAAUAUUAAACUUAGCAUAUGAUUUAUGAAAUGCGAUCUUUAAAAGUAGGCUUUUAUGUAAUUUUCACAUUCGAUAAAGCCAAUUGAAGUAAGAAUGAGCCUAAAUAAAAUAAAGAUAAAUGUUCAACAACUAUAUACAGCCCUAAAAACCAUCAUACCGCUCAAAUUUCAAGCCCCAAUUACACCAACCUAUUGCAAUUAGAAAAGAAAAAGAAGAGUUAUGAGAUAAGAGAAGUAGUCAAAUUGGGAUGGGUAUGUGGCGACAGAGGUGAAUUUUUUUUUUUUUUUUACACCGACAACAGUGAGGAAGUUGGCGAUAAGUUGGGAUUUUAUACAAAUGCAAUGUUUGAAUUAAGGCGCAAAAGAUCAUAAAAGGGCAAAUUGCAUAAGAGGUGGAGGUGCAGUGCUUAUCAAUUAUAGUACUACCAACCAUUGUAUUCCAAUUGGUGAGACUAGUUACGAGAUUUUCAUGGACAAGAUACUACGUGUAGUUAAUGGGUCUACCAAUUUUUUUUGGUUGAAAUAUCCCUUUUCUGCUCUGGUCGUGACGAGCAUGGUAAAGAAAAUAGUUUAGCUGUACAGAAUUUUAGAAAUUGGUCAUGAUUUUCACCUCGGGGACAAUGUGAAUUUCAAGGAAAUGAUAUAGAUAGAAGCCAAAUCAGUAAUUAGUUCAACUCUCAAUUGUGCAGGGAUAUUGUAGGGAUUAAUACAAUAAGUUGUAUAAACUGUUACUUGUAAACAGGGGCAAUGUUUCAUUCGGGGAGAGGCAAAUAUUGAGUAGUUUGUUAAGUCAAGUAGGAGAGCUUCAGGCCUUGGAAUUGUCAUUCUGUUAUUCUAUCAAUACAAAUCCUAUUAUAAUUUAUAAUCUAGUUUACAGAUUUCUAAUUCAUUUUAUCAAUACAGAUCUACACCCCUAUAUCCAGUUUUAUAGCAUUCCCAAUAAAUUCAUAGACUUUUUGAUCUUACCGCAAACAGUUGCAGCAGAAGAGCAGCCUUCCAGUGGCAACAUCAACAAUGGUAAUUUCAUUCUAGCAGAGAAGCAGCAAUUCCAGCAAUCAGCAGUAGUACAAUGGGGAAGCAAAAUUAGAGCAGCACCAAUAUUCUAUCUCUGGGAAUGGGAUAGCA